Molecule: unclassified non-coding RNA, 268 nt
Filed under: Bjerkandera adusta
Lineage: Eukaryota; Fungi; Basidiomycota; Agaricomycetes; Polyporales; Phanerochaetaceae
Description: partial internal transcribed spacer region
Rfam family: Eukaryotic small subunit ribosomal RNA (bases 1-46)
Source: RNAcentral
AAGUCGUAACAAGGUUUCCGUAGGUGAACCUGCGGAAGGAUCAUUAUCGAGUUUUGAACGGGUUGUCUGCUGGCUCGCAAGGGCAUGUGCACGCCUGUCUCAUCCACUCUCAACUUCUGUGCACUUUUCAUAGGCCGGCUUGUGGGUGCGUUCGCGCACUUGUAGGUGUCGGGCUUAUGCUUUAUUACAAACGAUUCAGUUUUAGAAUGUCAUACUUUGCUAUAACGCAAUUUAUAUACAACUUUCAGCAACGGAUCUCUUGGCUCUC